CAGUCUGCCUUAGGGCAGUUAAAAGGGAAGAGGAGUGAAAUUCUCCCAUGGUCCCGCCACUGUGAUGAUGAUGAAAGCAUAAAAUCCACUGAAGCAGAUGUUUUGGGAAGGUAUGCCGGUAAGAUGAUUCUAAAUCAGGAGACCUGCUGUAAAAAU
RNAcentral lists this non-coding RNA (156 nucleotides) under uncultured Fusobacterium sp. The record is from RNAcentral. Lineage: Bacteria; Fusobacteriati; Fusobacteriota; Fusobacteriia; Fusobacteriales; Fusobacteriaceae.